RNAcentral lists this long non-coding RNA (251 nucleotides) under Elaeis guineensis (African oil palm). RNAcentral describes it as "long non-coding RNA (EGUI_LNC015653)". The record is from RNAcentral. Lineage: Eukaryota; Viridiplantae; Streptophyta; Magnoliopsida; Arecales; Arecaceae.
CCUAGAGCAUGAUUGAUAUUUUUGCAUACUGCAUUAUUAUUGAUAGAUGGUAUUUUUAACUUGAUAAAAUUUAUUAAGAAAAAAAUAUAGAUUAUCAUUGUGAUUUGCCAAAUCAAAAAGGUAUAAAUUUAAAUUUAUUACUCUAAAUCUUCUAUCUCCAUUUUUUUUUUGAUGAUUUUUUAUCUGACAUUUGUUUCUUCAACAUCUCCAAAAGCCGUAAUAUGUCCUAUCACAUCCGUAAAAAAAAAGGU